This 460-nucleotide ribosomal RNA is filed under the name uncultured bacterium. Its description in RNAcentral is "partial 16S ribosomal RNA". It matches the Rfam family "Bacterial small subunit ribosomal RNA", at positions 338 to 795 of the family's 1533-position model. The record is from RNAcentral.
CCUACGGGGGGCAGCAGUGAGGAAUAUUGGUCAAUGGACGAGAGUCUGAACCAGCCAAGUAGCGUGAAGGAUGACUGCCCUAUUGGUUGUAAACUUCUUUUAUAUGGGAAUAAAACGUUCCACGUGUGGGAUUUUGUAUGUACCAUAUGAAUAAGGAUCGGCUAACUCCGUGCCAGCAGCCGCGGUAAUACGGAGGAUCCGAGCGUUAUCCGGAUUUAUUGGGUUUAAAGGGAGCGUAGGUGGAUUGUUAAGUCAGUUGUGAAAGUUUGCGGCUCAACCGUAAAAUUGCAGUUGAAACUGGCAGUCUUGAGUACAGUAGAGGUGGGCGGAAUUCGUGGUGUAGCGGUGAAAUGCUUAGAUAUCACGAAGAACUCCGAUUGCGAAGGCAGUUCACUGGACUGCAACUGACACUGAGGCUCGAAAGUGUGGGUAUCAAACAGGAUUAGAUACCCCUGUAGUC